CGCGUGCAGGAUGAAGGCUUCGGGUUGUAGACUGCUUUUGUACGGAACGAAACGGUGAGCUCUAAUAAAGCUUGCUAAUGACGGUACCGUAAGAAUAAGCACCGGCUAACUACGUGCCAGCAGCCGCGGUAAUACGUAGGGUGCGAGCGUUAAUCGGAAUUACUGGGCGUAAAGCGUGCGCAGGCGGUUUUGUAAGACAAAUGUGAAAACCCCGGGCUCAACCUGGGAACUGCAUAUGUGACUGCAAGGCUAGAGUACGGCAGAGGGGGAUGGAAUUCCGCGUGUAGCAGUGAAAUGCGUAGAUAUGCGGAGGAACACCGAUGGCGAAGGCAAUCCCCUGGGCCUGUACUGACGCUCAUGCACGAAAGCGUGGGGAGCAAACAGGAUUAGAUCCCUGGUAGUCCACGCCCUAAACGAUGUCA
Molecule: ribosomal RNA, 422 nt
Filed under: uncultured bacterium
Lineage: Bacteria
Description: bacterial SSU rRNA
Rfam family: Bacterial small subunit ribosomal RNA
Source: RNAcentral